AGCAGCCGCGGUAAUUCCAGCUCCAAUAGCGUAUAUUAAAGUUGUUGCAGUUAAAAAAGCUCGUAGUUGAAUUUCGGGAUCAAUACGUUGGUCGUGCUUUCGGGUACGUACUGGCGUCAUUGGUUUCUCUCUUCUGACGAACCAUGAUGUCAUUAAUUUGGUGUUAUGGGGAGUUAGGACUGUUACUUUGAAAAAAUUAGAGUGUUUAAAGCAGGCUCACGCUUGAAUACAUUAGCAUGGAAUAAUGAAAUAGGACGUUUGAUUCUAUUUUGUUGGUUUCUAGGAUCGACGUAAUGAUUAAUAGGGAUAGUUGGGGGCAUUAGUAUUCAAUUGUCAGAGGUGAAAUUCUUGGAUUUAUUGAAGACUAACUACUGCGAAAGCAUUUGCCAAGGAUGUUUUCAUUAAUCAAGAACGAAAGUUAGGGGAUCGAAGACGAUCAGAUACCGUCGUAGUCUUAACCAUAAACUAUGCCGACUAGGGAUCGGAUGAUGUUAAUUUUUUUAAUGACUCAUUCGGCGCC
This 520-nucleotide ribosomal RNA is filed under the name uncultured Glomus. RNAcentral describes it as "SSU rRNA". It matches the Rfam family "Eukaryotic small subunit ribosomal RNA", at positions 569 to 1087 of the family's 1831-position model. Lineage: Eukaryota; Fungi; Glomeromycota; Glomeromycetes; Glomerales; Glomeraceae. The record is from RNAcentral.